RNAcentral lists this ribosomal RNA (341 nucleotides) under uncultured Pseudomonadota bacterium. RNAcentral describes it as "bacterial SSU rRNA". It matches the Rfam family "Bacterial small subunit ribosomal RNA", at positions 29 to 351 of the family's 1533-position model. The record is from RNAcentral. Lineage: Bacteria; Pseudomonadati; Pseudomonadota.
AAUGAACGCUGGCGGCGUGCAUAACACAUGCAAGUCGAACGAGAAAGCCCGGCUUGCCGGGUGAGUAAAGUGGCGAACGGGUGAGUAGCGCGUGGGUAACCUGCCCUUGAAUCUGGAAUAACCCGCCGAAAGGCGGACUAAUACCGGAUAUUGUCCCGGAGUCGCAUGGCACUGGGAUGAAAGAUGACCUCUUCACGAAAGUUGUCGUUCAGGGAGGGGCUCGCGUACCAUUAGCUAGUUGGUAGGGUAAUGGCCUACCAAGGCGACGAUGGUUAGCUGGUCUGAGAGGAUGAUCAGCCACACUGGAACUGAAACACGGUCCAGACUCCUACGGGAGGCAG